Equus asinus (donkey) is the source of this 2683-nucleotide long non-coding RNA. The record is from Ensembl. Lineage: Eukaryota; Metazoa; Chordata; Mammalia; Perissodactyla; Equidae.
AUCUAGUGCAAAAUGAAUUUCCUUGUAAUCUCUAGUUAUAAAAAUUCUGUUCUAUUUUUUUUAAGUAUGGUAUGGUGUAAGUAAAACUGUGUUCUGAACUUUUUCUGGCAUUGAGAAACACAGGGUGAAAAUAUUCCAAAGUUGUUACAAGUCAUUCUUUUAAGAAUAUCUAAUGGUGUGAAAAAUGGUCACCAGAAGUGAAAAAAAGCAUGGGAUAAAGCUAAAUAGAACUGGAUUCCAUUUAGCCUCAAAGCUUCUGAACGCCCACUCAUGUGAGCAGCAUCUUGAUUCUGCAAGUACGUGCCCUUCCACCCCAGCCCGAGACGACCGUAUUGAAGUCCCUGUGAGCGAACAUCUAUCAAAAGCAAAGCGAUACGGAAUACAGGACCUUGGCAGGCAGAGAUGUACCCUGUGGCUUGGUCUUUCUCUGCUUGGCCGGUGGUGAUGAAAACAAUAACAAAGACCCUGACUUUGCUUAAUGACCAAGACUCGCUUAGAUAACAAACCAGCGCAGUCGUUGGCAGAGAGCCUUCUAGAUGCUUGAUGCAGUGUGACCUACUGGAGUGGGGAGGAGGGUCAGAAGGAAAGAGGGCCAAGUUACAUAUUGGUUCAACCGAAGCAGAUUAUCUUCUCUAGAUUUGGACUGAUGACCUUGUUUAUUAUUAACUAUCAUUUACUGAGAACUUUUAUGUGCCAGGUACCGAAUUAGGUACUUUAUGUUUUCUUGCAAGGUUUUGUUGCUGUUUUUCUUUUUUUAACAAAGGAGAAAAUUGAAUUUCAGAAUGGUUAAGUAAUUUGUUCAACAUUAUUACACAGUUUAUAAAUGGUACAGCCAGAAAUGCGAUCUUGGUAUGAGUAUAAAACAACUUUUACUCUUUCUUUGGUAAACACAUAGCUUACGCCUUACAAAUUUCAAAUUCAAGGUGCCAGAGGACUGCGGCUUAGAACGGGUGAGCUGGCCAUGGCAUAGCAAGUCAGUAAUUUAUAUACACAACCAUAUUGACUCUUUUCAUCACAGAGAAUUCCAGGAAAAUUCAGACAAGGUAGAAUCAUUGGGCAGAAUUGCAGAAGGAUUCCUUCUCAAUACUUUAAGAAUAAGAAAACCCCCCAGUCGGGGCUUCAUGAGCCUGUAAAAAAAAAUUUUUAAUGCCAUCAGGCUGUUGUUUUUAGUUUAAUUGCUCAUUAAUUUUUUGAUUUAAAAAAUAGGUUUCAUUUUUUUGUAAGAGUUUGAGAUUUACGGAAAAGUUGAGAAGCUAGUAUGGAGAAUUCCCAUAUACCCUGCACCCAGUUUCCGCUAUUAACAUCUAAUAAUGCACAUUUGUCAUAAUUAACGAACUCAUACUGAUUUGCUAUUAACUAAAGUCCAGAGUUUAUUCAGAUUUCCUUGGUUUUUACCUAAUGUCAUUUUCCCAUUCCGGGAUCCCAACCAGGAUACCACAUUACAUUUAGUUGUCAUUUCUCCUUAGGCUCCUCUUGGCUGUGAGAGUUUCUCAGACUUUUGUUGGUUGUGAUGACCUUGAUAGUUCUGAGAUUUACUCGUGAUUUUGCAAGAAGCAAGAGGAUGCCCAUCUACUGGGAUUUGUCUGAUGUUUUUCUCAUGAUUAGACUAGGGUAAUGGGUUUUUGGGUGGAGGACCUCAGCUGUAAAGUGCCAUUUUCAUCAUAUCAUAUCAAGGGUAAAUGCUGUCGAGAUGAUUUAUGACUGAUGUUGACUUCAUCACCUGGCUGAGGUAGUGUUUGUUAGGGUUCUCACUGGAAAGUUACAUUUUGUCCCCCUUUCCAUACUGUGCUUUUUGGAAGUCACUAGGCAUAGCUCAAACCUAAGUGGGGUGUGCAUUAACUUUUAAAAUAAUCAUUCAUCUCUCCCCGCCUCUCAAAGUGAUUUCUUCUUGUUCAACCUGAUUUGAUACCACUUGUGUUCAUUAAUUUCUUCACCUCUACUUCCACUCUCCCAAUUAUAACUAUCAAAUCAUAGACUUUCAGAGCUUGGAGGAGCAUAAAGUUUACCUACCCCUGUUGGGACUGGAUUAUCUGAUAGCCAGAUGAAGCAGAAAUGCAUACAUGUAUUGAAAGGAUUUCAUAUUCAAUUUUUCUCAAAAGCAAGGAAGUAGUCACCAUGGGAGAAUCAGAAAUUUGUUAGGUGUCCUGAUGUUUACUUUAAGGUCCAGUGUUUUUUUUAUUUUGAAUAAUAUCGAAAGGUGGCAUAGUGUUUUCAGUAUCAAAGUCCUAAGGACCCCUCAUCUUUAACAGAGGAGUUGGAGAGGUGAAGUGAGUUGACCCAGGUUGCAUAGGUGGGUGUCUCAAUUCAAGGAAACAAAGUCUGUUUGCUGCAGAUGGGGACAGACAUCUGCUAUGACACAGACUUCCCAACAAAACACAAAGGGCAGCUGCUACUUUGAUGAUGAGGACAAAGAGGAUGAAGGAGCACAGAAGUGUGAGAUGGAGGGAGUAGCACUUCUUCAAUGUUAUAUAAAAACAGUUUGCUUGGACAUCUACAAUAUUUAUAAGAAAAAAUAAACAACCAUAAAAUAACCUCAGAGGUAAGCACAAUUGUUAUCUUCCUAAAUACUUCAAAUUUUAAUCUUCUCUGUCUGUGGACUAAUAAGGGUGCUUUUUCUUGUACACUUCUAUCUUGUUUAAAUGUUUUACAGUAUAUUUUUGUGAAUUAAAACAUUGAAAUAAUU